CAGCACCUCAAGUGGUCAGGAUGAUUAUUGGGCCUAAAGCAUCCGUAGCCGGCUCUGUAAGUUUUCGGUUAAAUCUGUACGCUCAACGUACAGGCUGCCGGGAAUACUGCAGCGCUAGGGAGUGGGAGAGGUAGACGGUACUCGGUAGGAAGGGGUAAAAUCCUUUGAUCUAUUGAUGACCACCUGUGGCGAAGGCGGUCUACCAGAACACGUCCGACGGUGAGGGAUGAAAGCUGGGGGAGCAAACCGGAUUAGAGACCCAAGUAGUCC
Molecule: ribosomal RNA, 270 nt
Filed under: uncultured archaeon
Lineage: Archaea
Description: partial 16S ribosomal RNA
Rfam family: Archaeal small subunit ribosomal RNA
Source: RNAcentral